UAUAGAUUUAUACUGUAUUUUUAAGUUUUGUUCGAUGUAUUUAAGAUCAUAUGCUGUUUGUUAUUUCUUUGUCCCAAUUUCUUUCAGGGACAUGAAUACAUGGAUUAUUGUAUUUUGUUUCAAAAUUUAUAUUAAAUUGAAUUUCAAAUAUUUUGGUUUC
Molecule: long non-coding RNA, 160 nt
Organism: Magnolia sinica
Lineage: Eukaryota; Viridiplantae; Streptophyta; Magnoliopsida; Magnoliales; Magnoliaceae
Exons: 2
Source: RefSeq, a predicted model, not a curated record